AGGUGANCUGCGGAAGGAUCAUUUA
Molecule: ribosomal RNA, 25 nt
Filed under: Russula sp. K07
Lineage: Eukaryota; Fungi; Basidiomycota; Agaricomycetes; Russulales; Russulaceae
Description: partial 18S ribosomal RNA
Source: RNAcentral